This 679-nucleotide long non-coding RNA is filed under the name Carica papaya (papaya). RNAcentral describes it as "long non-coding RNA (CPAP_LNC008618)". Lineage: Eukaryota; Viridiplantae; Streptophyta; Magnoliopsida; Brassicales; Caricaceae. The record is from RNAcentral.
CUAAAAAGUCUUAACUAUCACUAAAAACUAUCUUUGUUAUAUAAUAUCUAAUCACUCUUUAAAAAAAAAUCUUUCUUUUCAUGGGAUGUCUAAUAUUUAAGUAAUAUAUCUCAUUAGUAAUUCAAUCUAAUAUGCUUAAACUAAGCAAAUUGGAUUCAUUUAUCAUAGUUCGUUAGAAAAAUAGUAAAUGGAUAGUUAUAUGUCAAUUUUAAAUUAACAGAUAAUCAGUAUUGUUGGAAAGCUCAUAAACAUAUAUUUGAGUUUGUCUCGAUGUUCUCGAGAAAUAAAAAAGCUUGCAAUAAUAAUAUGCAAUAUUACGAUCAAUUUUAAAACAUUUUUCUUGGGACUUAUAAGAACAAAAUUCCCAAGUUGAUUGUUUUUCUCAAAUGAAACUUCACCAGCUCUAUUUCAUGUUCAUCAAACUUUUAACCUGAUAUCUUGUUAAACCAAAUCUUGUAUGGUUGAGAAACAAACAUAUCAAGUUUGUUCUUCUACUGAAGCUCCUAGUGAGAUGUGUGAAGGAAAUUGAAGCCAUUCAGCUGUAGUGGUAAUUUUAAUUUUAUCCAUAUAGUUAGAAAUUCAUUAUAGAGAAACAAGAUGUUGGUAUGGAUGGCACAAGGGAAGCCUUACUAAGUGGAAACAAGUGCAACAUAGUCUUGGGUCCCAUAAUAUUUUAUUU